AGUAAAGCAUAAGACAAUACAAACGUGUCUUUAGAAGUCAAUAUAUUGUUUGUUUUGUUAGAAUAUCAUUGAACAUAAACCGACAGUCCAUAGCAUCCAUAGCAUAGUGUUGUGAGGUUUUGUGAGGUUUUGUGAGGUUUUGUGAGGUUGUGUGAGGUUUUGUGAGGUGUUGUGAGGUUGUGUGAGGUGUUGUGAGGUUUUGUGAGGUGUUGUGAGGUUGUGUGAGGUGUUGUGAGGUGUUGUGAGGUUGUGUGAGGUGUUGUGAGGUGUUGUGAGGUUUUGUGAGGUGUUGUGAGGUGUUGUGAGGUUGUGUGAGGUGUUGUGAGGUGUUGUGAGGUUGUGUGAAGUGUUGUGAGGUGUUGUGAGGUUGUGUGAAGUGUUGUGAGGUUGUGUGAAGUGUUGUGAGGUUGUGUGAAGUGUUGUGAGGUUGUGUGAGGUGUUGUGAGGUGUUGUGAGGUUGUGUGAGGUGUUGUGAGGUUGUGUGAAGUGUUGUGAGGUUGUGUGAAGUGUUGUGAGGUUGUGUGAGGUGUUGUGAGGUGUUGUGAGGUUGUGUGAGGUGUUGUGAGGUUGU
Molecule: long non-coding RNA, 571 nt
Organism: Xyrauchen texanus (razorback sucker)
Lineage: Eukaryota; Metazoa; Chordata; Actinopteri; Cypriniformes; Catostomidae
Exons: 3
Source: RefSeq, a predicted model, not a curated record